UACGAAGGUCCCAAGCGUUAUCCGGAUUUAUUGGGUUUAAAGGGUGCGUAGGCGGGCUAUUAAGUCAGUGGUGAAAGCCCCAGCUUAACUUGGGAACUGCCAUUGAUACUGAUGGUCUUGAGUACAUUUGAGGUGGGCGGAAUGUGUCAUGUAGCGGUGAAAUGCUUAGAUAUGACACAGAACACCGAUUGCGAAAGGCAGC
This 202-nucleotide ribosomal RNA is filed under the name uncultured bacterium. Its description in RNAcentral is "partial 16S ribosomal RNA". It matches the Rfam family "Bacterial small subunit ribosomal RNA", at positions 524 to 725 of the family's 1533-position model. The record is from RNAcentral.